This 454-nucleotide ribosomal RNA is filed under the name uncultured organism. RNAcentral's name for it is "partial 16S ribosomal RNA". It matches the Rfam family "Bacterial small subunit ribosomal RNA", at positions 329 to 799 of the family's 1533-position model. The record is from RNAcentral.
ACGUACACUCCUACGGGAGGCAGCAGUGGGGAAUAUUGGACAAUGGGCGCAAGCCUGAUCCAGCCAUGCCGCGUGAGUGAUGAAGGCCCUAGGGUUGUAAAGCUCUUUCACCGGUGAAGAUAAUGACGGUAACCGGAGAAGAAGCCCCGGCUAACUUCGUGCCAGCAGCCGCGGUAAUACGAAGGGGGCUAGCGUUGUUCGGAUUUACUUGGCGUAAAGCGCACGUAGGCGGACUAUUAAGUCAGGGGUGAAAUCCCGGGGCUCAACCCCGGAACUGCCUUUGAUACUGGUAGUCGUGAGUUCGAGAGAGGUGAGUGGAAUUCCGAGUGUAGAGGUGAAAUUCGUAGAUAUUCGGAGGAACACCAGUGGCGAAGGCGGCUCACUGGCUCGAUACUGACGCUGAGGUGCGAAAGCGUGGGGAGCAAACAGGAUUAGAUACCCCUGUAGUCCCAUG